ACUUAUAAUUGGUUAGACAAUCUCCACUUGCUCAGCGUAUGCUAGUAAACAAUAGUAGUUUGAUGUUAUACACUUUCCUUCCAGGAAACUGACCUCAACGUCUCUUCCAUGGCACAUUAAGGAAACAAGAGAAAGAAGACGAUAUAUCCUCGUUGUGGCACACAGAGGGUUAAAGAUCAACAAGCUGCCCUUGAUUAAUAACUGGGAAUAAUUAUCACAAGUAGAGCUUACUUCUACAUAUAUCAAGCAUAUACAAAUAUGGCUUCCUCUUCUUCUCCCACUACUCCAUAUUUGAAGCACGAAGUGUUCCUCAGUUUUAGAGGCUUUGACACCCGCAAUAGUUUCACCAGUCAUCUUUAUGAUGCUUUGCAGCGAAACCAAAUUGAUGCUUACAUCGAUAAUAAACUUGAUGGAGGAGAAAAGAUCGAGCCUGCCCUCUUGAAAAGGAUUGAAGAGUCGUUUAUUUCGCUAGUCAUUUUCUCUGAAAAUUAUGCAGAUUCUACUUUCUGUUUGAGGGAACUCUCCAAGAUUCUUGAGUGCAUGGAGACCAAACAACAGAUGGUCUUACCAGUAUUUUACCGACUUGAUCCAAGCCAUGUUCAAAAUCUGACUGGGAGCUAUGGAGAUGCACUUUGCAAGCAUGAAAAAGAUUGCAGUUCUGAAGAAGUAAAGAGUUGGAGACGUGCUUUGAAAGAAAUAGCUAAUCUCAAGGGCUGGGAUUCAAACGUCAUUAAGGAUGAGACCAAGCUAAUUCAGGAAAUUGUUUCCGACAUUCAAAAGAAAUUUAGCCAUGAGCUGUCACUCUCAUUCGAUGCAGAAGGCCUUGUUGGAAUGAAAUCACGCGUUAAAGACAUCGAAUCAUUACUAUCCUUUGGAUCAACUGGUGUGCUCAUUGUGGGAAUCUGGGGGAUAGGUGGUAUAGGCAAGUCAACGACGGCUGAUGUUGUGUAUCAUCGAAACCGUAGUAAAUUUGAAGGCCAUUGCUUUUUCCAAAAUGUGAGGGAAGAAUCAAAGAGGCAUGGAGUGAAUCAUGUAAGACAGGAAAUUCUUGGUGAAGUAUUAGAGAAAAAAGAUAUGACUAUACGCCCAAUAGGGUUACCCCCGGACAUUAAGCGAAUGCUUCAAAGGAAAAAAGUCCUCAUAGUUCUUGAUGAUGUCAAUGAUCCACAAGAUUUAAAAUAUUUACUAGGAGAGGAUGGUUUGUUUGGCCAAGGAAGUAGAAUCAUGGUGACAAGUAGAGAUAGGCGAGUUCUUGAAAAUGCAUGUGAUGAAGACAAAAUUUACGAGGUUGAAAUUUUAGAUGAAGACGAUGCACUACGACUCUUCAGCUUACAUGCUUUUAAACAAGAUCGUCCCAUGGAAGGAUAUACUGGGCUAUCAAAAACUGUGGUAAGCUGUGUUAAGGGCAUUCCAUUAGUUCUCAAGGUUUUAGGUGCCAAUCUAUACAAUAAAAGGAGUGUUGAAUACUGGGAAAGUAAGGUGGCACAGCUAAGAACAAAUGGUAGCGAGGACAUUAAGAAACAUUUGGAAAUGUGUUAUCAUGAAUUAAAUCAGACAGAAAAGAAAAUAUUUCUUGAUAUAGCAUGUUUCUUUGAACUGUGCGAAAGGGAUAUCCUCCAACAAACACUAGAUCUGAAAGAAAGAAGUGGGAUCGAUCGUCUCGCUGAUAUGUGUCUCAUAAAAAUUGUUCACGGCAAGAUCUGGAUGCAUGAUGUGCUACUACUUCUAGGGCGAGAAAUUGUCCUCCGAGAAAAUGAUGACCCUAGAGAACGUAGCAGGUUGUGGGAGGAUGAGGAUGUCUGUCGUGUAUUAACAACUCAGGGGACUAGAUCAAAAGUGGAAAGCAUAUCCCUCAUCUUGGAUGCAACUAAAGAUCAAUUGAGAUUAAGUCCUACAGCAUUUGAAGGGAUGUAUAAUUUAAGAUUGCUCAAAAUCUACUACCCACCUUUCUUAAAGAAUCCCUCAAAGGAGCAAAUUAUGAAUCGAAAGAGGGUCGGAAUCCACCUUCCAGGAGGGCUUCACUUUCUUUCAAGUGAGCUAAGGUUUCUCUACUGGUAUAAUUACCCUUUGAAAUCCUUGCCAUCAAAUUUUUUCCCUGAGAAACCUUUUCAACUUGAAAUGCCCUGUAGCCAGCUUGAACAACUUUGGAAUGAAGGCCAGCCACUUGAGAAUUUAAAAUUAAUGAACCCCCCUUCCUCAAAGCUGAGCUUAAUUGAUUCAGACCUGUCUAAAAUCCCAAACCUUGAGGUUCUACAUCCGGGACAUUAUAGUAGCUUGGCUGGUAUACCUUCCUCGAUUAAAUACAGCACCAGUCUUGCCACAUUAGAGCUUCCUAGAUUCGAGAGUUUCUGUACUUUGCCAUCAUCAAUUGGGUGCCUCUCUCAACUUGUUAGAUUAAACUUAUCUUUAUGUGAAAGUCUUGCUAGUCUACCGGACAACAUUGAUGAGUUGAAAUCUCUUGUAGAACUUGAUCUUUAUUCUUGCUCAAAACUAGCAAGUCUUCCAAAUAGCAUUUGCAAGUUGAAAUGUCUUACUAAGCUUAAUCUUGGUCAUCAGCCAAAACUAGUAAGUCUACCAGACAACAUUGGGGAGUUGAGAUCUCUUGUAAAGCUUAGUCUUUUUUCUUGCUCAAAACUAGUUAGUCUACCCGACAGCAUUGGCGAGUUAAGAUCUCUUGUAGAGCUUAGUCUUUCUUCUUGCUCAAAACUAGCAAGUCUCCCAGAUAGCAUUGGCCAGUUGAAAUCUCUUGUAGAGCUUCGUCUUUCUUCUUGCUCAAAACUAGCAAGUCUCCCAGACAGCAUUGGUGAGUUGAGAUCUCUUGUAGAGCUUCGUCUUUCUUCUUGCUCGGGACUAGCAAGUCUACCAGACAGCAUUGGCGGAUUGAAAUCUCUUCAAUGGUUUGAUCUUAAUGGUUGCUUUGGACUAGCAAGUCUACCGGACAACAUUGGUGCGUUGAAAUCUCUUCAAUGGCUUUAUCUUAAUGGAUGCUCAGGAUUAGCAAGUCUACCAAACAACAUUGGCGGGUUGGAAUCUCUCAAAUCGCUUUUAUCAAGACUAACAAGUCUACCGGACAACAUUAACGAGUUGAAAUCUCUCAAAUUGUUUUAUCAUAGUGGUCGCUCAGGACUAGCAAGUCUAACGGACACCAUUGACGGGUUGAAAUCUCUCAAAUUGCUUGAUCUUAGUGGCCGCUCAGGACUAACAAGUCUACCAGACAAUAUUGGUGCGUUGAAAUCUCUUGAAAACCUUGAUCUUAGUGGUUGCUCAGGACUAGCAAGUCUACCAGACAACAUUGGCUCAUUGAAAUCUCUCAAAUCGCUUAAUCUUAAUGGUUGGUCAGCACUAACAAGUCUAUCAGACAAGAUUGGGGCGUUGAAAUCUCUUAACAACAUUGAUCUUAGUGGUUGCUCAGGACUAGCAAGUCUACCAGACAGUAUUGGCGUAUUGAAAUCUCUUAACAACAUUAAUCUUAGUGGUUGCUCAGGACUAGCAAAUCUACCGGAUAGCAUUGGUGCGUUGAAAUCCCUCAAAUCGCUUCAUCUUUGUGGUUGCUCAAGACUAGCAAGUUUACCGGACAGAAUUGGCAGGUUGAAAUCUCUUACGUGGCUUAAUCUUUCUGGUUGCUCAGGACUAAAAAGUCUACCGGACAGCAUUGGCGAGUUGAAAUCUCUUGAACGACUUGAUCUUUAUGAUUGCUCCGGACUAGCAAGUCUACCGAACAACAUUGGCGCGUUAAAAUCUCUAAAAUCGCUUAAUCUUAGUGGUUGCUCAGGACUAACAAGUCUACGGGACAACAUUGGCGCGUUGAAAUCUCUUGAAUCUCUUAUACUUAGUGGUUGCUCAAGACUAGCAAGUCUACCAGACAACAUUGGCGAGUUGAAAUAUCUCAAAUCGCUUCAUCUUAGUGGUUUCUCAAGACUAGCAAGUCUACCGGACAACAUUAGAGAGUUGAAAUCUCUUGAAUCGCUUAGUCUUUAUGGUUGUUCAGGAUUAGCAAGUCUACCGGACAACAUUGGCGUGUUGAAAUCUCUCAAAUCGCUUCGUCUUAGUGGUUUCUCAAGACUAGCAAGUCUACCGAACAGCAUUGUCGAGUUGAAAUCUCUUGAAUCACUUAGUCUUUGUGGUUGCUCAGGACUAGCAAGUUUACCAGACAUAAUUGGCGGGUUGAAAUCUCUCAAAUCGCUUUGUCUUAGUGGUUUCUCAAGACUAGCAAGUUUACCGGACAGCAUUGGCGCGUUGAAAUCUCUUGAAUCACUUAGUCUUUGUGGUUGUUCAGGACUAGCAAGUUUAUCGGACAUAAUUGGCGGGUUGAAAUCUCUUACGUGGCUUAAUCUUUCUGAUUGCUCAGGACUAAAAAGCCUACCCGACAACAUUGUGGAGUUGAAACAUCUUACUACGCUCAUUCUCAGUGGUUGCUUAAAACUAGCGAGUCUUCCAGACAACUUCAUUGAUCUUGAAUUUAGUGGACUUGACAAACAACGUUGUUAUAUGCUGAGAGGAUUCCAGAAAGUAGAAGAAAUUGCCGCAUCCACCUAUCAAUUGGGCUGCCAUGAACUUUUAAAUUUGGAAAAUUCUCGUGUGUUAAAAGCUCCAGAGAGCUUAGGCUCUUUGUUGUCGCUAACACGAUUGAGAUUAUCUAAGAUUGAUUUUGAGAGGAUACCUGCAAGCAUCAAGCACCUUACUAAGCUAAGUGAACUCUAUUUAGAUGACUGCAAGCGGCUUCAAUGUUUACCAGAGCUUCCAUCGACUCUACAAGUUUUAAUCGCAUCAGGUUGCAUCUCUCUAAAAUCUAUAGCAAGUAUGUUCAUGCAAGGUGAUAGAGAAUAUAAAGCUGCUUCUCAGGAAUUCAAUUUCUCUGGAUGCCUCCAACUGGAUCAGAAUCAACGCACUAGAAUUAUGGGUGAUGCCCGUUUACGAAUUCAACGCACGGCAACAUCAUUGUUUUAUCAGGAAUAUCAUGGUCAGUUCAUUAGAGUUCGGUUGUGUAUUCCUGGGUCGGAAGUCCCGGAGGGUUUCAGUUAUAAAAAUAGAGAAGGAUCUUCAGUAAAAAUCCGGCAACCAGCUCAUUCUUAUCGUGGUUUCACUUUUUGCGCUGUUGUUUCAUUUGGCCAAAACGGGGAAAGGCGUCCGGUUAAUAUUGAAUGUGAAUGCCAUUUGAUAAUCAAAGAUGGAACCCAGAUUGAUCUCAGUUCCUACUACUACGAUAAAUAUGAAAGACAGGUGAGGAGUUUAUGGAAAAGGGAUCAGCAUGUGUUCAUUUGGAGUGUCCACUCUAAGGGCUUUUUCAAGGAGGCCUCGUUUCAUUUCAAACCACUGUGGGGAGCUACUGAUGUGAUGGUUGCGUGUGGAGUCCAUCCACUGUUUGUCAACGAGUUUUAAAAUUGAUGGAAAAUGCUUGACACUGGUAACUUAAUGCUAUGGAUGCAUGGUUUCGCUUUUUGACACUGCUUGCAGGGGCCUCUUCCACCAGAAAUUGGAGUUUUUUCUAACUUGGGGCUCUCCCUCAACCUUUCAAAUAACAAUCUAGACGGGGAAAUACCUGCAACUAUUGGAAAUCUGGUAUCUGUACAAGCUAUUGACUUAUCGGUGAACAGAUUUUCUGGCAUUAUACCAAGUUCAGUUGGAAGUUGUACGGCUUUGGAGUACUUGAACCUAUCCAAGAACAUGAUUGAAGGUACAAUUCCAGAGUCAUUGAAACAAAUUGCAUAUUUAAAAGUACUGGAUGUGGCUUUUAAUCAAUUAACAGGCAGCGUUCCAAUCUGGCUUGCCAAUGACUCAGUGAUGAAGAAUUUCGACCUGUCCUAUAAUAGAUUAACUGGAGAAGUUUCAAGUAUGGGAAAGUUUAAAAAUCUUAGUGGAAGCACAUUGAUAGGAAAUGCAGGCUUGUGUGGUGGUUCUGCGCUAAUGAGACUCCAGCCAUGUGCAGUUCAAAAGAAGAGGAAGUUAAGGAAAUGGACCUAUUACUUGUUGGCAAUUACUAUUAGCUGCUUUUUACUGCUCUUGGUAUAUGUCGGGGUCCGUCUUAGAAAAUUCUUUAAAAGGAAAAGUGAUGCAGAAUCUGAAGAGGCAAUUCUGAUGGCUUUCAGAGGACGAAAUUUCACUCUUAGCGAGCUCAAAAUUGCAACGGACGGGUUCAGUGAUGCCAAUCUCUUAGCGAGCUCAAAAUUGCUUUGGAUCUGUUUAUAAAGCGUGGAUUGAUGAUAGAAAAUCUUUUGUCGCGGUUAAGGUUCUAAAUGAAGACAGGAGGCAGAGUUACAAAAGCCUAAAAAGGGAGUGCCAAAUACUGUCAGGAAUUAAGCAUCGGAAUCUGGUUCAUAUGAUGGGAUCAAUCUGGAAUUCACAGUUCAAGGAUCUCAUCCUUGAGUUUGUAGGAAAUGGAAACUUGGAACAGCAUCUUUAUCCUGAGUCCGAGGGAGGAAACUGUCGAUUGAUGUUGAGUGAGAGAUUAGGAAUAGCAAUAGAUAUUGCAAAUACCUUGGAGUAUCUUCAAUCGGGUUGCUCAACUCAAGUUGUGACUGUGAUCUGAAACCACAAAAUGUUCUUCUUGAUGAUGACAUGGUGGCCCAUGUUGCGGAUUUUGGAAUGGGAAAGGUCUUUUUUGCUGAUAAACAAACUGAAUAUUCUUCUACAGCAAGUGGCCUGCGAGGAUUGUUGGCUAUAUUCCUCCAGAGUGAUGAAGUAUCAGUUAGAGGAGACGAAUAGCGCUUCGGAAUUGCAACGAACUGGUUCAGUGAUGCCAAUCUCUUGGGGAGAGGAAGCUUUGGAUCUGUUUAUAAAGCUUGGAUUGAUGAUAGAAAAUCUUUUGUCGCGGUUAAGGUUCUAAAUGAAGACAGUAGGCAGAGUUACCAAAGCCUAGAAAGGGAGUGCCAAAUACUUUCAGGAAUUAAGCAUUGGAAUCUGGUUCAAAUGAUGGGAUCAAUCUGGAAUUCACAGUUCAAGGCUCUCAUCCUUGAGUUUGUAGGAAAUGGAAACUUGGAACAGCAUCUUUAUCCUGAGUCCGAGGGAGGAAACUGUCGAUUGACGUUGAGUGAGAGAUUAGGAAUAGAAAUAGAUAUUGCAAAUGCCUUGGGAGUAUCUUCAAUCGGGUUGCUCAACUCAAGUGUUGUGCACUGUGAUCUGAAACCACAAAAUGUUCUUCUUGAUGAUUACAUGGUGGCCCGUGUUGCGGACUUUGGAAUUGGAAAGGUCUUUUUUGCUGCUAAACCAACUGAAUAUUCUUCUACAGCAAGUGGCCUGCGAGGAUCUGUUGGCUAUAUUCCUUCAGUUGUGGCAGUUAACUAGGAAUUGGUCUCUUUCUUGCUGCUUAGGAAAAAUGGAAAAGGUGAAAGAAAAGAAAUAAGAACUGAUUUUGAAUGAUCAAGUUCUCAAUGGGAUUCAUUGUUCCACAAGAACAAUGCUCUCUCUGCUACGUGCAAAGCAUCAGUUCCAUAUACUGAUUUUAACAAAGGAAAGAGCAAAGAAUAGAAGCCAUCGUCCCAACAAGUUUUUCAGUGAAAAACUAAAACACCAUUCACUUGUAUGGAAGAUGUUUCCGCAAUAAAUUUGGUGAUUUUUUUCAAAAGAUCAGGCCAUGGUUUUAAUUCAACAUUUCAUGUCUAGUAAUGAAGAACUAAACAUGACAUAUUACUUGUUGAUAUAAUUAACAACAAUGCAGCAGCAAAUUGAAACAGAAUGUCAUCAUACAUGAAAAUGCAGGUUGCCAUACUCAGAUUUAGAACCAACCGAAUGAUUACCAUCAAGGACAUUUGGCCAUUCAGGAUCUUUCAUUCAAGCAGAAUAGAACACACUUUUAUUUUGGGUUUAAGAAAAAAACACACUUUUAUUUUGGGUUUAAGAAAAAAACAGGGAGGGGGAAAAAAAUCCUUGUGGCCAGUUAAAACCCGUGACACUAGAAUUGCUCAGGUCGAACCCCAAGCCUGUAUGAAAAACUCUUCAUCAUAUGUUAAGAGAAAAGUAGUAAAUUCUUCAGUGGGAACUUGAAUCAUGGUCUAACAAGGGUCUAACAAGGGUAUCCAUAAGGAAAUCACUGCUUGGUUCUGUUCAAAAAUCAAAAGGGCACACAGCAAGUCAAGCAUCCGCGUACUUUCCGAUGCUUUAACUCCUUUUGGCUAGUGGGAUAUCCUACUUUUUGACUAAUUUAUACACCCAACGUUUAACACAAAAAGGAGCUCAACAUCAAUAAUUGAUAAGAAAUUGCGUGCCACUUUCUCAUCAGUUGGUUCUAAAGCAGGAAACACGAGCUUUUGCAGUUGCUGCUAGUAGAGAUGAGAAAAGUAGAUAAGAAGCCACCUCUGUCCCCUUCAAAGUUGAGGAUGCCGUUGCGAAAAAUCACCAAUUUCAUGCCUCCACCAUCUCCUCUACAAAAACAGAAAACCGGUUCUGGUUUAUCUUCGAUGCAUGACAAAGAAAACAAUCCAAGAACCACAACUGCAGGAACAAAUACAAAAAGCCUUAUGAAACCCAGACGUAUGUCUGUUGCAGUCAGACCUCCUCCUCCAAUGUCAGCACAGGUUUUUCAGCCUAAGAGACGGGUAUCCAUUGCUACCUAUCGUUCAGAGCCAACCUCAAACAUGACACCACUUCAAACCUCGCGAUAUAAAAAUGGGAAUGUAGUUGGCAGGCAGUCAUUUGUCAGGGACCCAAGAAAGCCAAGGAAUUCAAAGCUGUUCUCUCCAUUGCCAGAGUUCAGGACUGCAUCGGAGACCACACCUACUGUUAUGAGAACCAGUAGUAAAUUCAUGGGGAGUCCUCCACCACAAGCAGGUUCUUGGAAGCCAAAGCACCCAACAGUUGUUGCACUGCAACGAAAAUCUCUGGUGUGGAGCCCGCUAAAGUUAAGGAGCUUUCAAAACAGGAGACCAUCUUUGUUGCCCUAUCGAUCAUCAUCAACUAAUGAGGUGCAAUAAAACUUAGUCUUCAUUGUCAUGAUAAAUAGUAGGAGUAUACUUUUUUUUUCUUGAUUCCCAUCUUCCCAUUUUUCUUACAUGGAUUUUAUAAUUUCUCCUCUGGAUAUUAAUCGCAAUUGUAUGCUACUUGCCUACUCA
Molecule: RNA transcript, 9044 nt
Organism: Populus trichocarpa (black cottonwood)
Lineage: Eukaryota; Viridiplantae; Streptophyta; Magnoliopsida; Malpighiales; Salicaceae
Gene name: disease resistance-like protein DSC1
Exons: 9
Source: RefSeq, a predicted model, not a curated record